This 463-nucleotide ribosomal RNA is filed under the name Vreelandella stevensii. RNAcentral's name for it is "partial 16S ribosomal RNA". It matches the Rfam family "Bacterial small subunit ribosomal RNA", at positions 338 to 795 of the family's 1533-position model. The record is from RNAcentral. Lineage: Bacteria; Pseudomonadati; Pseudomonadota; Gammaproteobacteria; Oceanospirillales; Halomonadaceae.
CCUAGGUGGCUGCAGUGGGGAAUAUUGGACAAUGGGCGAAAGCCUGAUCCAGCCAUGCCGCGUGUGUGAAGAAGGCCUUCGGGUUGUAAAGCACUUUCAGUGGGGAAGAAAGCCUUGGGGCUAAUACCCUCGAGGAAGGACAUCACCCACAGAAGAAGCACCGGCUAACUCCGUGCCAGCAGCCGCGGUAAUACGGAGGGUGCGAGCGUUAAUCGGAAUUACUGGGCGUAAAGCGCGCGUAGGCGGUCUGAUAAGCCGGUUGUGAAAGCCCCGGGCUCAACCUGGGAACGGCAUCCGGAACUGUCAGGCUAGAGUGCAGGAGAGGAAGGUAGAAUUCCCGGUGUAGCGGUGAACUGCGUAGAGAUCGGGAGGAAUACCAGUGGCGAAGGCGGCCUUCUGGACUGACACUGACGCUGAGGUGCGAAAGCGUGGGUAGCAAACAGGAUUAGAUACCCCGGUAGUC